CCGGUCGGGACGACGACGACGUGCCAACUGCCAAGCACAACAGUCGGCGCGCGUACGCGUACCACGCGGCAAUUGGUAACUGUCGCGCGGCGGCGUAUACCUUCGACGUCGACCGUCGGUGACGCGUGCGGUAGUGACCGAGGUUUGUAUACCGCGCACGGCCCGAUGGACGCGUUCGUUUUGCAGUCGUGUUGUACACUACACUACAACUACAGUAUUACGAUUUAGGUACCGGUGGCGGUAACCAAGAUUUACAAAUUUUAUUACCUAUAACGGAAAAAAAUAAUGAAUACAACAAAAUAACAUGCUAUACGAAAAUCAUUAAAAAAUAUCAUUUACAUCGUAAAUCAAUAUAUAAUCUACAAAUUAUGUAGCUUUAAAAUUAUAAUAAUUUGGUAGUUUAUUUAUAUAACAUAAAUGGCCCAUCAUUAAAAAUUUGAAUCUGAUCUUAUAAUGACCCAAUCAAGAAACCGUGCCACAUCUUCUCAACAGGUAUGAAUAAAGGUACUUCAGAUGAUGUAUAAUACUUAUUAUAUGCUUUACUUUAAAAUAUGGCGAAUAGAGUCAAUUUUACACGGGGAUUUUUCAUAAUACCAUAGAGAUUUUUUUAAAUUAGUACUCUUAGUUUUUAUGAAAGUUAUGCAUGUCUCCGGAUAAUGAUACAAUUUUAUUUAAUGACUAGCUAUUAAUAUUUUAUUAUUUUUUUUACGGUCUUCAAAAUAAAUGCAUUCAACAGCUAAAAAAUAUUACGCAUGUAAAAGAACAUUUUAAUUUUACUAA
Molecule: long non-coding RNA, 780 nt
Organism: Aphis gossypii (cotton aphid)
Lineage: Eukaryota; Metazoa; Arthropoda; Insecta; Hemiptera; Aphididae
Exons: 3
Source: RefSeq, a predicted model, not a curated record